RNAcentral lists this ribosomal RNA (351 nucleotides) under Triticum aestivum (bread wheat). RNAcentral's name for it is "partial small subunit ribosomal RNA". The record is from RNAcentral. Lineage: Eukaryota; Viridiplantae; Streptophyta; Magnoliopsida; Poales; Poaceae.
GUUGAGAGAGUUAUGCGCUAUCUGAAAGGUACUAUGAACUAUGGACUUCACUAUACCGGAUACCCUUCGGUACUUGAAGGGUAUAGUGAUGCGAAUUGGAUCUCUGAUGCUGAUGAGAUGAAGGCCACAACUGGGUAUAUGUUUACUCUUGGAGGUGGCGCUGUUUCCUGGAAGUCUUGCAAGCAAACGAUCUUAACGAGAUCGACAAUGGAAGCAGAAUUAACGGCAUUAGACACAUCUGGUGUUGAAGCGAGAUGGCUUCGAGAUCUUUUGAUGGACUUGCCAUUGGUUGAUAAACCGGUUCCGGCUAUCCUUAUGAACUGUGACAAUCAGACUGUCAUCACUAAGGUG